CGUAGGGUGCAAGCGUUAAUCGGAAUUACUGGGCGUAAAGCGUGCGCAGGCGGUUGUGCAAGACAGAUGUGAAAUCCCCGGGCUUAACCUGGGAAUUGCAUUUGUGACUGCACGGCUAGAGUGUGUCAGAGGGGGGUAGAAUUCCACGUGUAGCAGUGAAAUGCGUAGAUAUGUGGAGGAAUACCGAUGGCGAAGGCAGCCCCCUGGGAUAACACUGACGCUCAUGCACGAAAGCGUGGGGAGCAAACAGGAUUAGAUACCCUGGUAGUCCACGCCCUAAACGAUGUCUACUAGUUGUCGGGUCUUAAUUGACUUGGUAACGCAGCUAACGCGUGAAGUAGACCGCCUGGGGUGUACGGUCGCAAGAUUA
RNAcentral lists this ribosomal RNA (370 nucleotides) under uncultured organism. Its description in RNAcentral is "bacterial SSU rRNA". It matches the Rfam family "Bacterial small subunit ribosomal RNA", at positions 526 to 896 of the family's 1533-position model. The record is from RNAcentral.